Molecule: long non-coding RNA, 778 nt
Organism: Plutella xylostella (diamondback moth)
Lineage: Eukaryota; Metazoa; Arthropoda; Insecta; Lepidoptera; Plutellidae
Source: RefSeq, a predicted model, not a curated record
UGAACUUUAUCUGAGUUUCAAUGUUGUAAAUAAAUGUUAAAAGUUUGUUUAAACAUCUGAAAUUCAUUGCGCUGCGUUUCCGAAGUUCAUUCUUCAGGCUUGCAAGUGCUGUCUGGAAUACAGGCAGGGCAGGGGACUUUAAAAUGUACGCUGAUAUGGAAAUUGCUGUAAUAACCAGUACCGAGACAGCAGAACGCGGCAGAACUAACUACAAUUUUAGAGAAAUCUUUAUAGACAUUACAACGAAAAUCUAGCACACCCAACCAUUCCACAGCGAACGGUAUCCGUCCUAUAGCCUCUACAUGUAGAGGUAUAAGCUCUACAGACAAUCCGUCCAAAUUGUAAUGAAAAAGGCACGAGAUUCCCGGGGCGAAAAUAUCUCUAGAGCGUCUUCGUACGCAGGUUUCUAAGACAUGAGGGUAGGUAGGGUGGGCGCCUCGCCCAAUAGGAGGGAGGGGCGUGCCUACAGGGUCACAGGGGUCACACCGUCAUGCCCAAGUUGGGAUCAGGCCCAGGGUCGAAACAAAAUGUCGGCGUGAAACAACGAUUCCCGCGAAUCGAUGAAAACCGGCGCGCCGGUUAUUGAGCGAUUAGCGUAGCGUUAUCAAAUUGUUAUAUUGUUCCGUUUCAAUGGUACCGGUCUUUGAUUGUUUGUUUUGGAAGGUUUCCGCUAGAUUGGAUCCGGAAUCAAAUAAAAAUUCUUAUUAAGUAGUGUGCCUGAAUUUUUAUGGAGGUAUUUGUAUGUAUUCUUUAGUCUGUUGUAAUUUUUUAACUUAGC